Molecule: long non-coding RNA, 117 nt
Organism: Xenia sp. Carnegie-2017
Lineage: Eukaryota; Metazoa; Cnidaria; Anthozoa; Malacalcyonacea; Xeniidae
Exons: 2
Source: RefSeq, a predicted model, not a curated record
CAUAAUGGUAGACAUAAAGGUAGACAUAAAGGUAGACAUAAAGGUAGAUAUAAAGGUAGACAUAAAGGUAGACAUAAAGGUAGACAUAAAGGUAGACAUAAACGUAGAACAUAAAAG